UUUUACCUCUCUUUGGCAAUGACACAACUGCUGCUUGAAUACUGUGUCCAGUUCUGGUGUGCCCAAUUCAUAAAGGAUAUUGAUAAAUAGCAGAGGGUUCACAGAAGAGCCACAAGAAUGAUUAAAGGAUUGGAAAACAUCCCUUAUAAUAAGAAAAGGAGGACUUGUGGCACCUUCGAGACUAACA
This is a long non-coding RNA of Chelonia mydas (Green sea turtle), 187 nucleotides long. RefSeq lists it as uncharacterized. NCBI's taxonomy places the organism in Eukaryota, Metazoa, Chordata, Testudines, Cheloniidae. The record is from RefSeq and is a predicted model, not a curated record. The transcript is spliced from 3 exons.